AGAUGAGGAGACUGAAGCACAGAGAAAUUAACCAACAUCACCACAUUCACUUCAAGUGAUGGAUGUGAGCUUCAAACACAGAUAUUCUGACUCCUAACUUCCCUGCCGUUAGCUGCUCCAGCAUGCUGAAAUCUGGUUCUAACAACCACAUUCACAGGAAGUGGAAGAAUCUGACAGUGACACCAGAAUGACAAGUCAGAAGGGAAAGUGAAGGAUUCAGCCUUUACAAGGCGUGACUUCUUAAUCCUGUAUUGACAUGGAAUGAUACUCUAGUCAUCUUGGCUUGAUCUAGUGUGCCUCAUUGUCCUGAUCAGAAAAAUCAGAAACUUUGGGGGACCUGAAACAUCAUCUCUCUGGACUUGUUGCAAAGGUGGUGCCUGUCCCAGCUGAACAGCUGAAUAAACCUAGGACUUCGUGUGUGCUAAACAGACGGUGGCCUUUUUCCACAACAGAAGUUGUUAUUUCCUUGUGGACAAUAUACAGAAAUGUGUGCCGAGUGUCAGCACAAUCAAGGAUUACCAAGCUGGCUGAAAACAAUUGUGCUCAAAGAAUGCUGAUCAAUGAAUUGAGGUCACCCUGA
This 580-nucleotide long non-coding RNA is filed under the name Homo sapiens (human). Its description in RNAcentral is "HSALNT0280401". The record is from RNAcentral. Lineage: Eukaryota; Metazoa; Chordata; Mammalia; Primates; Hominidae.